RNAcentral lists this ribosomal RNA (760 nucleotides) under Cellulomonas parahominis. Its description in RNAcentral is "bacterial SSU rRNA". It matches the Rfam family "Bacterial small subunit ribosomal RNA", at positions 393 to 1166 of the family's 1533-position model. The record is from RNAcentral. Lineage: Bacteria; Bacillati; Actinomycetota; Actinomycetes; Micrococcales; Cellulomonadaceae.
GACGCCGCGUGAGGGAUGAAGGCCUUCGGGUUGUAAACCUCUUUCAGCAGGGAAGAAGCGCAAGUGACGGUACCUGCAGAAGAAGCGCCGGCUAACUACGUGCCAGCAGCCGCGGUAAUACGUAGGGCGCAAGCGUUGUCCGGAAUUAUUGGGCGUAAAGAGCUCGUAGGCGGUUUGUCGCGUCUGCUGUGAAAACUCGAGGCUCAACCUCGGGCUUGCAGUGGGUACGGGCAGACUAGAGUGCGGUAGGGGAGACUGGAAUUCCUGGUGUAGCGGUGGAAUGCGCAGAUAUCAGGAGGAACACCGAUGGCGAAGGCAGGUCUCUGGGCCGCAACUGACGCUGAGGAGCGAAAGCAUGGGGAGCGAACAGGAUUAGAUACCCUGGUAGUCCAUGCCGUAAACGUUGGGCACUAGGUGUGGGGCUCAUUCCACGAGUUCCGUGCCGCAGCAAACGCAUUAAGUGCCCCGCCUGGGGAGUACGGCCGCAAGGCUAAAACUCAAAGAAAUUGACGGGGGCCCGCACAAGCGGCGGAGCAUGCGGAUUAAUUCGAUGCAACGCGAAGAACCUUACCAAGGCUUGACAUACACCGGAAACUUCCAGAGAUGGUUGCCCCGCAAGGACGGUGUACAGGUGGUGCAUGGUUGUCGUCAGCUCGUGUCGUGAGAUGUUGGGUUAAGUCCCGCAACGAGCGCAACCCUCGUCCUAUGUUGCCAGCGGGUCAUGCCGGGGACUCAUAGGAGACUGCCGGGGUCAACUCGG